This 464-nucleotide ribosomal RNA is filed under the name Hallella multisaccharivorax. RNAcentral describes it as "bacterial SSU rRNA". It matches the Rfam family "Bacterial small subunit ribosomal RNA", at positions 28 to 481 of the family's 1533-position model. The record is from RNAcentral. Lineage: Bacteria; Pseudomonadati; Bacteroidota; Bacteroidia; Bacteroidales; Prevotellaceae.
GAUGAACGCUAGCUACAGGCCUAACACAUGCAAGUCGAGGGGAAACGAAGCGGGAGCUUGCUUCUGCUGUCGUCGACCGGCGCACGGGUGAGUAACGCGUAUCCAACCUGGCCUGAGGUAAGGGAUAAUCCGCAGAAAUGUGGUCUAAUACCUUAUGUGCUCCUAUGAGGCCAUCUGAAGAGGAGCAAAGAUUUAUCGCCUUAGGAUGGGGAUGCGUCUGAUUAGAUAGUUGGCGGGGCAACGGCCCACCAAGUCAUCGAUCAGUAGGGGUUCUGAGAGGAAAGUCCCCCACAUUGGAACUGAGACACGGUCCAGACUCCUACGGGAGGCAGCAGUGAGGAAUAUUGGUCAAUGGGCGAGAGCCUGAACCAGCCAAGUAGCGUGCAGGAUGACGGCCCUAUGGGUUGUAAACUGCUUUUAUGCGGGUAUAAAGGAGCAUACGUGUAUGUUUUUGCAGGUACCGC